UAGCAAAGCUAAGCGCCAUGCACCUGUAAGUACGAGCGUGAACGGUGAAAACCGGUACUGAAGGUUAACGAGGAGAAGAGUUUAUCGAAGAAUUCGGCGGAUGCUCUUCCAUGCCAUCCGGGCGUGUAUCCUGAACGAAAUAUGCGGGUAACCGCAAAACAAACGGACAGGAACCGGACUGA
This 182-nucleotide non-coding RNA is filed under the name Hungatella hathewayi. Its description in RNAcentral is "Clostridium hathewayi GlcN6P sequence". It matches the Rfam family "glmS glucosamine-6-phosphate activated ribozyme aptamer". Rfam says of the family: This entry contains a glucosamine-6-phosphate activated ribozyme that is found in the mRNA for GlmS. GlmS is an enzyme that uses fructose-6-phosphate and glutamine to generate glucosamine-6-phosphate. Lineage: Bacteria; Bacillati; Bacillota; Clostridia; Lachnospirales; Lachnospiraceae. The record is from RNAcentral.